This 484-nucleotide ribosomal RNA is filed under the name uncultured bacterium. RNAcentral's name for it is "partial 16S ribosomal RNA". It matches the Rfam family "Bacterial small subunit ribosomal RNA", at positions 30 to 507 of the family's 1533-position model. The record is from RNAcentral.
AUUGAACGCUGGCGGCAGGCCUAACACAUGCAAGUCGAGCGGAUGAAGGGAGCUUGUUCCUGUCUUCAGCGGCCGACGGGUGAGUAAUGCCUAGGAAUCUGCCUGGUAGUGGGGGAUAACGUCCGGAAACGGGCGCUAAUCCCGCAUACGUUCUGAGGGUGAAAGUGGUGGUUCUUUGGACCUCACGCUUUUAGAUGUGCCUAGGUCGGAUUAGCUAGUUGGUGGGGUAAAGGCCUACCAAGGCGACGAUCCGUAACUGGUCUGAGAGGAUGAUCAGUCACACUGGAACUGAGACACGGUCCAGACUCCUACGGGAGGCAGCAGUAGGGAAUAUUGGGCAAUGGGCGAAAGCCUGAUCCAGCCAUGCCGCGUGAGUGAAGAAGGUCUUCGGAUUGUAAAGCACUUUAAGUAGGGAGGAAGAGAAGUAAAUGAAUACCUGGAUGUUUUGACGUUACCAACAGAAUAAGCACCGGCUAACUUCGUG